UUCUUUCUAUUCUUUCUUUGUUGUCGGGAAAGGAGGCCUCUUGUUUUUUUGGGUGGGGGGAAGCCUUUCUUGAAGGCCUUUUGGCUGUUGGAACUUUCCUAAUUGUUGGUGUUGAUUGACAGCUAGCCUAGUACUAGAGGGAAGACACGUGACUGAUGUUAAACGGAUGCCAAGAGAAGAGAUGAUAUCCUAAAUAAUCAAUACAACUAGUAGUAGAGGGACUUCAGCUACAUCCUCACUUGCAAAGGAAAUGUAGGUACUUUGGCUUAAAUGGACACGUAUCAGAUCUUUGCGGAACACGUUGGAUAUUGUAGUGAAGGAAAGCAAGGACACUGCAUGCAAGAACAUUCCUGUGUCAUCAGUGAAGUCGGGACCAUGUGACCAUUCAUCCCCCCUCCUGCCAAAUCCAUAAAAUCUUGAAGUCUGAGGAACUUAUAAAGCUUCUACCUGAGUGUUGAGGAACUUAUAAAGCUUGUGCCUAAGUGUUGGUUUACUUGUUACUAAGUGAAUUAAAUUGUCAUAGUUGAAACCAAAAAAGUUGCUGAAAUUUGGAGUACAUGCCAUGCCACCAUUUGUGCUUUGAGAAAAUUUGGUUUAUUGAAACUUACUUUCUCUUAUUGUCUGGCUUUGCAUUUCUCAUCCUAUUACCAUAUAUUUCUGCAUAUAAGACAACCUUUAAAUCUCAAAAUUCACCCCUAAAAAUUGGGAGAAGUCUUAACUCUACCACUAUAAAAAUCCGAUCUUGAAUUCUAAGUGAUGUUUAUUGGUUGGCUAGCCUCAGCCUAGCUUUAGCCUUGGUGCAAUAACCACUGACAUACAUGAAAAGAUUCACAUUAUGAAAUAGACUGAUGACAAAGGUAAUAAAACCAUUAUUACUUUAUGUAUUAUUGGCAUAUUCAAGGACUAAUUCCAUAUCAAUGAAAUCCGCUUUUUAUCUAUGCAACCCCAGCUAAGAAAAUGUAAACAUUUAAGUUAUGGUUGUGCUCACACCAACCUUCAGAAAUAUUAUUGGUAGUGUAGUUAUGGUAGGAACAUUUAGGAGAACAUAUUGGUUUUAAUUUUCCAUUGAAAAUUCAUCAUUUGGUGGUAAAUAACCCAAUUUUUUAUUACAUACAGCUGUUUGGAAUAAUUCAAUUACACAACACAGUAAUUAUGCCAAUAAUUGUUGUACAUUAUCGUAUUGUUAUAAGGGGUUUGUGAUUGGCAAUGAACUUAAAAUAGUGGAUUCCGUUUUAGGCAAUGUGUUUAGGAAACGCAUGAUUUAAAAUCGCCCUUGUUAUUUUGUUCAUUUUUAAUUUCUAAAGAUACAAUAAGUAAAACAGGAUUUGGUAUAACUUCAUCUUUACAUAACCAAAAGGAGCCUAUACACAGAUGGUUUUGUAAUCUAGCAGUCAUCUAACACUACAGAUAUGAGAUCAAUUCAUGAAAAUUUGCCAUGAUUUUUUUUUACCUUGUCUUGUCUUAAAGGUCGUCUUAUACAUGGAAAUAUAUGUUAUGAGGUUUUCCCUUGUUGAUGUAGUAUGUCCAUAAAAAAAAAACUAUAACCCUUAUAAAACAGUACUUGAGACUAUGUGCUGCAGCCCUUUGGUCCUUAGCUGUGUUGCUUUCUGCAUUUUACUCUACUUUUCCCAUAGCAGCAACAGCCAUCUGGUUUUCCUUUUUCCUUUGGUGUUCUGUUCUAUUAUUUGUUUUCUUGUUUCCUUUCAGUCUUGCUAGAUCAGACCAUAGGUGUCCUGUUUCAGUGCCCUUGUGAUAAUGACUAAAAAUUAAGUCUAUGGUACAUUGAACUUUGGUAGAAAGUUGCCAAAAAACUUUUCCAUAUUUAUUCAAUCUCUAGAACUGAUGCUUGUUACUCAUGAUUUAUAAAACCUCAAAAAGUUCAAAACAUGCACAAAUACUCUUACAUGUUCUGUAAAUGUUGAGGAUAAAUUUCUCUCCCUCUUCAUCAACAGGAAUAUUGACAUCUUAGAGCUUAAUGUAUUUGGAAAUAUUGGCUGAAAAUGCCAUAUUGCAAACUGUUAAGCUAAGCCAAUGUGUGCUAAAAAUAGCUGUACUUAAAAGGGUUAUUUACCAGAUGAUCUCAUUAAGCAGUACAGGCAGUCCCCGGGUUACGAUGGGGGUUCCGUUCUUGAGACGCGUCGUAAGCCGGAACGACACUUGGAAAUAUGCCUUAAACUAAUAAAAAGUUAAAGAGACCUUACCUGUGCAACAUGCAAGUAUUGCAUGAUGUGUAGUGUGGUUAUUUCAGUGCCAAAAGAUGGUUCUUGAAGGUAUAUAAUUUUUAUUAUACACUCGUGACACUAUAAAGCACAAUCUUGAAGUAUUACCAAGUCCUUAGUUGACUUUAAUAUACACUAAUAAUACACUACUAAUCCUUAGGUUAGAUUAUACACUAUACACUAUGAAUAUCUUGAAGGAUGGAAGUAUGUACUAUAUCCUUAGGUACACUAUGGAAGGUCUUGAAGUACUCUAUAAUCCUUUGGUAGUACAUCCUGGAGUACACUAAAAUCCCAGUCUGGUAGCUCUGGAAGGUAAAAGUAUAACACAAUUAGUACAAAAUACUACACAAAGUCUUGAAUGCAAUAUGUAAAUUAUAGAUAUCAAGAGUAAAAGAGUUAAUGUAUGUUAAUUAAUUCCUUACUUUUAGUUUAUAAUUCCUUACUUUGAGUUAUAUCAAGAGUAAAAGAGUUAACGUAUGUGAAUUAAUUCCUUACUUUUAGUUUAAAGUUGUCGUGCUAUGUAACCCUGGAUGGACAGAGUCUUAUGUGGCCCCAUAGCCUACAUCAUUCAGGGGGUUCUGGAAUGUACAAAAAAUAAUUGUCAUUAAGUACUCUAUGCAUAGUAAGUUACAUACAGUAAUAUGCACCAUACAGUGGUUUAAUAUCAACUGGUAUGCAUGUUGUAAAUGAUUGGUCUACACCCUCUGUUCAGCAGGGAGUGGAGAUUUUACCAACCUUGCAAUGUUACCAGUUACGUAUGUACUAUAAUUCCAUGAGGGACCUUGAUCACUUAUCCCAUGUGAGAGAUCUUGGUCACUUUUUUUUAGUAUAAAACUUACUUAAUGUAUGUUAAUUACUAUGUAUAAUUCCUUACCUUUAGUACUGUAGUAGUUUACAGUUGUCGUGCUAUGUAUGUAACCCUGGACAAAGUUUUAUGUGGCCCCAUAGCCUGCAUCAUGGAGGGGGUCCUGGGAUUCUGGAAUGUACCAAAAAAGUAUCAAAGUUAAGUCAUGUAUGUAUGUUUAGUAAGUUACAUACAGUAACCAUACGUACAGUGGUUUAUAACAUGUAUGUAAUCAAACUUGGUUGGAAAUUCCUGUAAAAAAAAGUUAUGUACGUAUGUAAUACUGUAUGUAAAAACCUUACUGUUCAUACUUUGUUACACUACAUGUUACAUUUGAUACGUAUACUUUCCUGAAGGGUUUUUUCCAUCCAAAAAUGGUGCUUCUACUUGUAGUUAUCCCUUGAUGACACUUGUAAUGUGUAGUAACAACCUGGAGUUGUGUGAAAAAUGUUGGCUCUGGAAGGAAAAAGUAACAAUUAGUGUACAAAAUGUACACUACAGAAAGUCGUGAAUGCAAUAUGUUAAUUACUGUAGAUAUAUCAAGAGUACUAAAAGAGUUAAUGUAUGUUAAUUAAUUCCUUACUUUUAGUUUAAAGUUGUCGUGCUAUGUAACCCUGGAUGGACAAAGUCUUAUGUGGCCCCAUAGCCUACAUCAUUCAGGGGGUUCUGGAAUGUACAAAAAAUAAUUUUGUCAGUAAGUCCUCUAUGCAGAGUAAGUUACAUACAGUAAUAUGCACCAUACAGUGGUUUAAUAUCACAUAUAACAUGUAGUAUAAAACUUAAUUUAGAAAUUCCUUACAUAACUUACCAACUUUUAGUGAGUCUCAAAGCUGUUACCUAGGUUGUGGGAGAUGGAGGUGGAGGUGUAGAGCAUUAUGAUAAGGAUGCAUUCCAAACCUAACUUCAGUGUGCUUUAUCACAGAUAACAGGCUAGGAUGAUGGGCAGUUUGGAAUGAAGAAUUAAUAUUAAAGGACAGUUUGUAACCACUUAGGUGUACAAAAUUUAUUGUACGUAUGCACACAUUAAAAACAACUGAGAAUUCCUUACCUUCAGCAAAAUGAAGACCUGUAGGCUAUGUAGAGGUCUGGUUUAUGUAAGUCACAGGUGCAUGCCAGUCUGGAAUGAUAAUGUACAUAUGAUUAUAGUAUGUAUGUUACAUACAUAACAUGGUUAUUACAUAUGUAAUAAUAAAACAUUAAUAAAUAAAAAAAAUGUCCUUACCAAAUUCUAGUGGUUGGCUUGCUUACUGGGAUGGGCAUAUGGUAGAUGAGUGGGUGGCUGGGCUAUGGAGUGGGAUGGGCAGGUGCUUGGGAGUCUGGAAUGAUAAAAAAUAUAUAAAAUGAUAGUUACUACUGUAACUACUGCACAUGUUAUUACUGUUUGACAUAUGUAGUGUGUAAUAUGUACAAUAUAAAAAAUUAAGAAUUCGUUUACCUGAAGGAGUUGGAAAGGUGAUACUACUCGUAUCAACUGAUUUGGGCUCUGAUAAGGGAACAUCUAGAUCUGGAAAGAAUGAUAGGGUACAUAAAUAUAAGGUGGAUGUAACUGUAGCAUAUGUACACUUUUAAUAAAAUUUCUAUUAGCAAUUUAUAAAACAUUUUAUACAAAUUUGUUAAGGAUUCCUAACCUGAUGAAUAGGGCGAGGCAUCAAAACCAUGGAAAGGCUCAGGGUCAUCUGGGUCGCUGUCACUAUCAAAGGUGUCUGAAAUGAAAAAAAAAAAAAGGUUAUGCAACAUCAAACACAUUAUACCACUAUGUAAGUUAGUGUACGUAUGUAUGCCAUAAUGUACUAGUAGGGUGUAAACAAUUUCCAACAUGAAAAUGAGAAAAAUGAAAUUGCUUACCUGAUUGUAGUAGUACACGUACAGGUGGACGGGCUGCUACAGAGGGUCCAGGUACAGGGGGAUCUGGAAAUGUCACAGGUAGUACAGGGAGAUCUGGAACUGUCGCAGGUAGUACAGGGGGAUCUGGAACUGUCACCACUUCUGCAAUAAAAUUACAAAUGAUGAAAAUUAAUGAAGUUACAAUUUACUCUUACAUUUAGUUGUUACAUUAAAAAAUUAACACAUUUUAUAUGUACACUAUGUAAACACAUAAAUUAGUAAAACAGUUCAGAAUUCCUUACCAGGACUAGAAGUGGGAGGUGGUGGUACUGGAGACUUGUGAAAGAAAGUGUCAAGCCUGGACUGCACACUUCUCUAAAGGCCUGUCCACACGACUGGGCCUGAUCGGCGUGCUCCAGGGUUGACGGGCAAAUUCUGGCGGACUUAUCCGUGAAUGUUGUCCACACGGGUGAGGCGAUGGAGAGGUGGGCGUGCCCGACGAUGCCAGUAGCGUGUUCAGUGCGGUACGAUAAACAUGGUGCCUACCGCAAAGAAGAAGAUAGUGUAGCAUGAUAAUUGCUUUGUGUGAUGAAAAAGAAGAGAAUAUGGUGCAAAGAAUGGCUCGGUAAAAGAAAUGUAUAUGGUUAACGUACGUCUGCCAGGGUCGAAGCUCAAGCCAUCGGGCACCACCAUGGUGAUUUUGCUACAAGACCCAUCGGGCAAUUUGACGGUUUGCUAGUCAAGUGUGCCCGUUUGUGGGGAAGUCCGCCGAUCAGGUCCGAUUGUGUGGACAGGCCUUUAGUCUGCUUCUCCUUCAGGGUCUCCUUGUAGAAAGUUACUAAGUCUAACAUUCCACGUUUUAUUUUGUCAAACCUGGCAACGUUAGGGUCUUCUGCCUCAAAAGAAGCCAAGGCUCUCUCCAGAUGAGUAAAACCCUCUGACAAGCCUUUCACAGUUAAUGACCUGGCUUUUGGCUCUGGUGCCGCCUCCUCUUCCUCAAUCAUUUGCUGUUCAAGUUCAAGCAAGUCCUCUGCUGACAAUUCCUCUCCAUGGGAUGCCAGCAGCUCUGUUACAUCAUCAGGUUCAAGAUCUAGUUUCAGCCUCUUGCUUAGCUCUACGACCUUCCUCGUCACAGUCUCGACGUCUUCUGCCUGGUCAAAGCCUUCAAAACUGUGCACAAACUGUGGACACAGUUUCUUCCAGGCCCCAUUAAAAGUGGUCGUCUUCACCUCGUCCCAAGCACUUGCAAUGUUCUUCACUGCAUCAGCAAUGUUGUAGCCCUUCCGGAAUUGCUUCAGUGUCAACUCCUUGUUAGCUUGUAUGGCCCUCAAAGCAAAACGUAUGGUCCUUCUAAGGUAGUAAGCCUUGAAAUUAGCUAUUACUCCCUGGUCCAUUGGCUGUAUCAGCGAUGUGGUAUUGGGUGGGAGGUACACCACCUUCACAAUAGGGUGCAUGUCGCUCAAAUUUGAAGGGUGACCAGGGGCAUUGUCCAGGACUAAGAGGGCCUUAAAAGGCAGACCCUUCGAAGUCAAAUACCGUUCCACUGCUGGCACGAAAUGGUCAUUGAACCAAUCUUCGAAGACCAUCAAGGUAACCCAAGCCUUCUUAUUUGAUUUCCAAAUCACAGGGAGUUGACUCUUGAAAAUGGCCUUGAAAGCCCUGGGAUUCUCGGCCAAAUACACCAGCAAGGGCUGCAGUUUCAAAUCGCCACUUGCAUUGGCCCCAAACAGCAAAGUCAGUCGCUCCUUUCCAGCUUUAUGGCCAGGUGCUGACUUCUCCUCCUGGGACAGGUACGUUCGAUUUGGCAUUCUUUUCCAAAAUAAACCAGUCUCAUCCACAUUAAAGACUUGGUCAGCCGUGUAGCCACCAUCCUUAAUUAUCUCGGCCAAACCACCUGGAAAACUACCUGCUGCUUCGCUAUCAGCACUAGCAGCUUCACCUUGCAGCUUCACAUUAUGCAAAUUUGCACGAGCCUUAAAAACGGUUAAACCAACCUCUACUCGCGGAAAAUUCACCACCAGCACUGCCUUCGCCAAACUUUUUCACUCCUGCCUCAUGCAGUGCUCUAGCCUUCUCCUGGAUCACACUUAAGCUCACCGGAACACAUCACUGGUUCUGGUCCUCCAGCCAGAUCGUCAGGAGCUUCUCCAUUUCAACAAUGCUCUGGCUACGUUGCUUCUCGUUUAUCACCGUUGACUUCAUCGGUGCAGCAUCCUUAACGUGCUUCAGAAUACGUUCCUUGUCUUUCACAAUGGUUACCACCGUCGUCCUGCUCAAGCCUAAAGCACGACCUAUUUCGGUGUUAGUUUCUCCCUUUUCCGAAUGCUUCACCAAGUCAUAUUUUACCUCCAUCGGGAUGACCUUCCUCUUCUUGGAUGAACUAUCAUCGGAGGAAGUACUUUGGCGUUUAGGAGCCAUUGUAAAUUCGCGAAAAUGGCAAGGAAAAUCAGCAACGUCUUAGCACACAACCGACUGAACUUCAGGCAGGCAUUCGAUUGAAGUGGCGUCCUUUGGUAUUGUUAUGCUUAGCGUCCUCGACCGUUCGAGGUCGUCGUUCGGUCAAUUUACCAUACAGUUUAAUAGCGUAAAUUAAUUUAUGUGCCUCCACUCAAAAACUAGUUAUGCGUAUGAGGUAUCGUUAAAAAGCAUAACAAAACGUCGUAACCUUAGAAUUUGUGUUGUAAUCUAACCAGAAACUUAGUUUUUUUAAUUAUGUACUGGAAACAAGCAAUGAUUUUUUCAUUAUUUGCGCUUUUGGACUGUUUUAAACUGCGCAUCCCAAGCUAGUGUAUUCAUUCGCUCGGAAACUAGUUCCGCAUAUGCGGCGUCACUAAAAAAAUUAAAAAAAAAAAAAAAAAAAAAAGUUGAAAAUCAUCAUAACCUCAAAACUUUUGUUGUAAUGUAACCAAAAACAUAUUUUUAUUAUAUACUGUGCUAAACUAUAAAGGAUUUUUAUCAUAGCAUGCGUUUUUUAAAAGCGUCGUUAACUCAAGAGCGUCAGCGUCGUAACCUCGGAACAAGCGUCGUAACCCAGGACGGAUUUUUCCAUUGAAUAUUUAAGAAAAAGCGUCAUAACCUCGGAACGUCGUAAGCCGGGGACCGCCUGUACUCUAAAUUUGUUCAUUAUCAUAGUUAAUAGAAAAUUGUAUGCAAAUGGUGUAGUUAUACCAAUGUCAAUUUUAAAACCUUAAAAUUACAGUAUUUGAAUUUUAACUAAUUCCAGUGCAUUACUUGAUCUGUCUCAUAUUGAAAACAAGUUCAUGUGUAAAAUCAACAUUUAUAUUUGUAAUAAUUUGCUUCCAGUUACCUGCAAACUUAACAUCCACUUUUUAUACAGUAAUUUGUGCCAGUUUAGAAUCAAUUUUCGGUGCUUGUUUCGUACUUCAGUUUUUCUACUCUGAAAACCGUUUCAAGUGAAAAAUCAUUGUGUUUCUCAAAUUCUUUCAUCUUGAACUUGGUGGCAAAUUCAAUCUACAGUACAAGGAAAUCCUUGGCAAAUUCAAUCUACAGUAUAAGGAAAUCCUUUUUAAAAGUUACCGAACCAACAUUGUCAAAUAGGUAUUUGUGAUUGGUGAUGAGAUGUAAUUUCAGAUCUCCCAUUUUCCCAUCAAAAGUAACUUCAUUCAAGGAUAGAAAGUCAUAUAAGCUUAAGUGUCCACUUUUAAUAUUUACAGUAAAAGUGUUGCUCAUUUACGUUCGCAGAUAAUUUUAUUUCACUUAAUUGGUCAAGAUCUUAACACCACAAAGUUUAUUUGUCAAGUUAGUUAUUCGGAUGUGAAAAUUUAGGAUUUAAACUGAUGCAUGGUGAUAGUGUAAAGUGCCCAGAUCAUUACUGUAGCACAGCCAUAAAAGAAAACUGUGGAAAAGUGCUGUUUAAGUAGAUGUAAACAUGAGACUUCAGACAUAGGACCAUUUCCAUGUCAGUCAUUUUUAAACCUCUUCAAAAAGGCACCAUUUUUGGCAAAACAUUUUUUUCUCCAAACAUUGACAAUUUCAGUAAAGCUAAAGCUGGUAAAGAACAUCCAUAAAAGAGACCGUACAAGUUUAUGUUUUGACAAACCUAGACUAGUAGUGUUGUUUAGACAAGUAAUUUUGCUAAAGUAUUCCAAAUGACUGUGAAGAUAGUUUUAAAUUUGGUAUGAUUUUCAAAGUGGUUAGUUGUUCUCUUAAUAAGAAAAAAAAAAGUAAUUUUGACAGAUUUGCACAGCGUAAUUUUACAUGGUCUUUGUUGAAUGUAAAAUUUUUCAGUUUAAUGUAAUUUUGUUACUUUUAUCAAUAGGUAAAUGCACAUGACUUAAUGAGUUAACACAGAUAUUUUUAAUGUACUACUAAGUGCAUGUGUUCAGGUUAGAAAGGCACUACCUUGGUUUGUGUACUUGAACAAUUUUGGUGUUUUCAUAAGAAUGUGCUUUGUUGAUACUGGUAUAAAUCCCUUCCUUUGUGUACAUAAGAUGAGUGAUAUCUCGGAACUGUAAGUUACUAUAAUCCUCAGAUGUAAUUUAAGUUGCCCUCGGUACAACUUUAUACAUUACAGCAAUGUGCUUUGUAAUGGGGGAAAUUUUUUUUUUUAUGUACACUUAGUGUACAAACAUUAUAUAGACUGUAUUUACUAUGCCAUAAUUAUAUUUGACUUACUGUAAUCAUGCAGAACUGCAGCACCAAAACAAACCUCAACUUGAUUCUCUUCUUCCUUUAUUUAGUCUCUAUGUACGUAGUAACAUUUUGGACAAUCUGUGUAUCUUCAGGCUCUGUGAAAGUUAAAAACCAAUACAUUUAUACCAAAUGUGUAACUUUAAAUUAUAUUUAAUGAGCAUAAAAAAAUUUAUUAAACUAAAUUAAAAUAGUACUUAAUUGCCGAGGGCAGAGUUAUUUAAAGCUUGGUUUCAGUUUUUUUCUCUAAAAAGUCUUGCCAGUUUGAGUCGGAGCUUUUCAUAAAAUACUAAAAUCAGAAAGCUUAAAGUUAUGUUAAGUCGUGACUGAAAUGGCUUGCCUAUGGGUAAAGACACUAAUUUUAAUUUCUAGUAUUAUUUUAUGUAAUUGGUUUGACACUGAGAUUUAGACUGUAACCUUAUUCUAUAGAGAAACUGAAACCAAGCUUAAAUAUGGAUAACCCUCCCUUCAGCAGGCUAGUAUUUUUGUUUAGUUUAAAUUUUUAUCAUUUUCAGCAUGUUACAUAUCACUACAUGUUUGCUUGGUGUAAAUGUAUUGGUUAAUUUAUACAAUAAGCUUAAGAUGGACUGUUGUACAAUAAGCUUAAGAUGGACUGUUGUAAUUGUCCAAAACAUUGUCUCACACACUGAAUAAAGGAGAGGAGAGAACGUUGAAGCUUGUUUUGCAUUGUAGUUCCUCACGUGAUUAAGGUCUCUCUCAUCUAAGUACAUUAUUACUACAUUACAAUUCUUUGUAUCAAAAAAUCUUUUAAUGUUACUCUGUUCAGGUAAAUGUGAUUCAACAAAGGUCAAUAAAAUCAAAAUUAUCAA
This is a long non-coding RNA of Macrobrachium nipponense, 10367 nucleotides long. RefSeq lists it as uncharacterized. The transcript has 3 exons. Lineage: Eukaryota; Metazoa; Arthropoda; Malacostraca; Decapoda; Palaemonidae. The record is from RefSeq and is a predicted model, not a curated record.